GUAAUUAUUGGAGGUUCAUGGAGCUUUUGCGUUUUUGGCUAAACCAAUGCCCUACCACUUAAAAUUUACUCUUUUUCUAAAGAAGACAUUUUCUGUACCAUCAUGGCAUCAUCUAAAUAUGCCCAAUUCUUUUUCUCCACUCAAGUAUUCUGGUUGAAGAUUCUAAUUACAACGUCCGUGAUAAGCAUUGGAAUGUCUGGGUCCAUAAUCCAA
RNAcentral lists this unclassified non-coding RNA (213 nucleotides) under Hevea brasiliensis (rubber tree). The record is from RNAcentral. Lineage: Eukaryota; Viridiplantae; Streptophyta; Magnoliopsida; Malpighiales; Euphorbiaceae.